AACGUAAUUAAGUCGUGGGUCAAAUAUGUAAGACUCAAUUACUUCACUGCCUUUGUUGACGGUACAUCUGAGAAUUGGAAGCCUAGAACAGGGUGUUGAAUGCACAAUAAACAAGAGGAAAUGCAGAAAUGUUGAAAAUAACAGAAUUCUGGGAAAUGAUGAGGAUGAGAAACACUUUCUAGGAAAAGGACACAACAUGGGAUUCCUGUGAUCACGCAGCAGCCACUCCAGAGGAGGACAUCAGCCCUAAAAGAGUAACCACGUUGGGAAGAGUUGGACAAAGCCCUGGUCAAAGGAGUUUUAUUCUUUCCAUCACCAUCUCUGCCAAUUCCAACCCUUCACUGGUAAAUGACUUGGGAGAUGUUGCUUCACCUUCUGGUAGGAAGUAGAUCAACUUGGCCAGAAGACAGGCUUUUUCACUUCUGAAGGAAGAGCACAGAAGAGUCACUGCCCAGUGAAGCCUUCCCAGAUGUUCCUGACCAGAUGGUUCUUCUUGUAUAUAACCUCUCCUGUACCAUUCCAUCACUGCCUUAUCACAGUUGUGACUUUAUGUUUAUGUCAUUACCCUUUGUUUAAUAUCUCAAUCCUCCUCUACGCUUUAAGCAACAUUAGGUCAAAGACUCUCUUUGCUCACAUUUAUAUGUCUAAUGCCUCACAUAGUGUCUAACCCGCAUUAGCUCUCAAUGAACAUAGUAUUUGUUGAAAAGAUGAAUGAAUGAAUGAAUGAAUGAACAAAUGAAUUGGAAAGACCUAUUUAGGAUGGUACCAAUCAAGGUCAUUGGGCAGAGAGGAUAACAAAAUGUCCAAAAUAAAGUUACCACAAAGGUAUAAAGACAUGGAGCCAGUAGAUUGGCCCUGGAUUUGAGUUCGAAACAGAGAACAGGAUGAUUGUCUAAUUUCUGUGAUGUGAAAAAUACUAGAACUGGUCUUAACCCAUCCUUCCUGGGACAGCCAGUUCUUUAAACUGGCUGGGUAUAUAUUCAAUGAAAUAAUCUGUAUGAAUGGUAUCAAUGUGGACCUCAGAUGUAUUACAGGCUGAUGAUAUCUCAACUGAGCAAUGGAUAGGAAGCAACCUUCCCUCAAAGGCUUGUUGAGGUCAGGACAGGGCUCUGCCAACACAGAGGAUCUCACCCAGCCCCAUUGCAUGUUCCUGGAUAGCAUUCAGUGUUUACUAACAAGAGUAGACAGAAUUCUGGAGUCAAAUUCAUAUACAAAUGGUGCUUCUCCUUCCUGUCUGACUCUUCUUCUUCUGGAGGGUUUCUGGGUCACCUCACUCCAUAUGAGGUGCUUCAAAACCAGUGGCAGGUACCCCACUGGGCUUCCAUCCACCGUAUACUCACAUGGUGAUUUUUAUCUGAACCAGUUCUAGAGGAGAUUAGUACCAUAUGAACAUCACCAGGUGAAGGAACUGAAAUCAUUUAACUCAAAGGGAACUGAUCAGUUGGCUGGAAGUCAUUGCCACUGAGUAUAACCCAAGCCAUCCACAAAUGACAACUUGGAAAUGGCUGCCUGACAUUCUUGACUACCUUAGGAACAGGAAGCUUUCAUUUCUGUACUUCCGCAAAGGCCAACCUCUACUAAGAACCUUCUAACCUUAACCACUGUUGGUCCACCCAUAUGACUCAGAAGCAGACUAAAUUUCCCUCUUCCCAAGACACUUGUGAACACUUAAGGACUUGCAGGAUGCAAGAUGGGAAUGACAUUAGAGCUGAAAGGACAGACUCAGUGUCUAAACUGUCUGCUUGUAUAGACAUGUAAACACUUGAGUACCAUACCCUAUGAACUCCUAUUGCAGGUUAUUUCUACCCAAAACUAUAUAAAUGCUCUUAUUAUAUAAAGACCAGAAGAGAACUAAUCCAUUAAACUCAGUCUACCUCU
Long non-coding RNA from Hyaena hyaena (striped hyena), 1878 nucleotides. RefSeq lists it as uncharacterized. The transcript is spliced from 2 exons. NCBI's taxonomy places the organism in Eukaryota, Metazoa, Chordata, Mammalia, Carnivora, Hyaenidae. The record is from RefSeq and is a predicted model, not a curated record.